UGUGAACUAUCAUUCGACAUUUUGGUACUGCGCGAAAGAGCCUGGCCGCACUAGCUGAACGCAUGGAAGUAUUUUGGGCAGGUGCCUUGUGUGCGGCCGUGCAGAAAUGGAACUUCCAGCUAUCUCCCGAACCCCUGAACCGAUUCGUAUAAUUUUUUGAUAUAUUGUUCCCCUGACUAUGGACUAUCAGAAUAUGUGUGUUUUGUGGGGGUUGGAUAUGGUUCUGGGGUGUUUCUGAAAACGUGGAAUUUUUUUUAUUUUUUCGUUUGGAGAUAAUUGAGUUGAUACAGUAAUUAACUCAAUUAUCUCCUAAGCAGAGGGGAGGAAUUUUAUGUAAUAAUUGGGAGUGUUUGGUUAUGUGAC
Pelobates cultripes (western spadefoot toad) is the source of this 363-nucleotide non-coding RNA. NCBI's taxonomy places the organism in Eukaryota, Metazoa, Chordata, Amphibia, Anura, Pelobatidae. The record is from the annotation of a GenBank genome assembly.